AGCGAACGCUGGCGGCAGGCUUAACACAUGCAAGUCGAGCGGGCACUUUCGGGUGUCAGCGGCGGACGGGUGAGUAACGCGUGGGAACGUGCCCUCUGGUUCGGAAUAACUCAGGGAAACUUGAGCUAAUACCGGAUACGCCCUUUUGGGGAAAGGCUUGCUGCCGGAGGAUCGGCCCGCGUCUGAUUAGCUAGUUGGUGAGGUAACGGCUCACCAAGGCGACGAUCAGUAGCUGGUCUGAGAGGAUGAUCAGCCACACUGGGACUGAGACACGGCCCAGACUCCUACGGGAGGCAGCAGGGGGGAAUAUUGGACAAUGGGCGCAAGCCUGAUCCAGCCAUGCCGCGUGAGUGAUGAAGGCCUUAGGGUUGUAAAGCUCUUUUAUCCGGGACGAUAAUGACGGUACCGGAGGAAUAAGCCCCGGCUGACUUCGU
This 434-nucleotide ribosomal RNA is filed under the name uncultured bacterium. RNAcentral's name for it is "partial 16S ribosomal RNA". It matches the Rfam family "Bacterial small subunit ribosomal RNA", at positions 29 to 506 of the family's 1533-position model. The record is from RNAcentral.